UACAGAGGACUCAAGCGUUGUUCGGAAUCACUGGGCGUAAAGCGUUUGUAGGUGGUUUUUCAAGUCAGAUGUGAAAGCCCUGGGCUCAACCCGGGAAGUGCGUCUGAUACUGGGAAACUCGAGUGCGGGAGAGGAAAGUGGAAUUCCUAGUGUAGGAGUGAAAUCCGUAGAUAUUAGGAGGAAUACCGAUGGCGAAGGCAGCUUUCUGGCCCGUUACUGACACUGAGAAACGAAAGCGUGGGUAGCAAACAGG
This 253-nucleotide ribosomal RNA is filed under the name uncultured bacterium. RNAcentral's name for it is "partial 16S ribosomal RNA". It matches the Rfam family "Bacterial small subunit ribosomal RNA", at positions 524 to 776 of the family's 1533-position model. The record is from RNAcentral.